This 551-nucleotide ribosomal RNA is filed under the name uncultured bacterium. RNAcentral's name for it is "bacterial SSU rRNA". It matches the Rfam family "Archaeal small subunit ribosomal RNA", at positions 631 to 1182 of the family's 1478-position model. The record is from RNAcentral.
GGUAAGAUCCUGUAAUCCCGGAAGGACGACCAGUGGCGAAAGCGUUUAACUAGAACGAAUCUGACGGUAAGGAACGAAGGCUAGGGUAGCAAACCAGAUUAGAUACCCGGGUAGUCCUAGCUGUAAACAUUGCCCAUUUGAUGUUGCUUUCCCGUUGAGGGAAGGCAGUGUCGGAGCGAAGGUGUUAAAUGGGCCGCUUGGGAAGUAUGGUCGCAAGACUGAAACUUAAAGGAAUUGACGGGGGAGCACCGCAACGGGAGGAAUGUGCGGUUUAAUUGGAUUCAACGACGGAAAACUCACCGGGAACGACCUGUGCAUGAGAGUCAACUUGACGAGCUUACUCGAUAGCAGGAGAGGUGGUGCAUGGCCGUCGUCAGCUCGUACCGUAGGGCGUUCACUUAAGUGUGAUAACGAGCGAGACCCACAUCUUUAAUUGCAAAUGUAUAUGGGAAUAUGCAUGCACUUUAGAGAAACCGCCAGCGCUAAGCUGGAGGAAGGAGUGGUCGACGGCAGGUCAGUACGCCCCGAAUUUCCCGGGCCACACGCGCAUU